CCAACAUCAAUAUCAUAAAUAGUAUUACUAUUAUUGUAUUUGAGACAAUGGUCCUAAUUUUCGUAAUAUGUGUGUUAUAUUUCCAACUUAUGGGUUUUUGAACUUUAACUAUAUUUCAACGCAAACACUUGGAUAUACAAUAACACACGCUACCAACCACAUUCAAUGCAAAUAUCUAAUAUUCUUCUUAUUUUACACGCUACCCAUUGCUACCAUAAACCAAUGGUUCAAACCUAACCUUCUGUUAAACCAGCGAUCAUGUCGGCCUGCUCAUUAAUCUAACGCGAGUUGAAAAAGGCUCAACGCCUUUUAAGUUCUUUAAUAGCUGGCUCAGGGAUGACAAAUUCAAUGAAGAAUUCCGAGCAGCCUGGACAAAGUCGGUGGAGGGCUCCCCGCUAUAUGCCCUGCAACAGAAGAGUAACGCAGUCAGGGGUAUGGGUAAAAAAUGGGCGAAAAAAUUGAGGACAAUGAACAGACCAUCGAGAACAAUAGCAGCGGAAUUGCAGAUUGAGGCAACUAGGCUUCGAGCAGACCCAUUCAACCAAAUCGUGCAGAAGUCGUGCAAGGAUCUGAAAGCAGAGCUGUCCGAAUCCCAGUACAAAGAGCAGUUGGACCUCCAACAACGAGCCCAUGUGAACUGGAUCUUGGAUCUGUAACAUCCUACUUAGGUAUGUUAACAAUCUAAUACUAAAAUUGACAACAAAAGGAAUUUACGAGUCCAAUAAUCUCAUAAUAAAAUAACCAACAAAACUAGAAUUUCAAAUAUAACUAAAACAAGGUUUUGCUAACAACAUUGUUUAAGAUCUAAUUUAAUGAUUGAAAACUCCGAGGUGCCCCAUCCCGUCCUCGUGUCCUGUUACGUCUUCUUCCACCCUACCACAUCACAAAUCAAAAUAGGGAUGAGUUACUAUAUCAUGACUCAACAUGGUUUCCCCUACAUAUCAGUCAGACCGCAUGGUAAAGCAAUUAAAAUCACAAUUAUCAAGUAGAUCAUAAUAUUUAUUCACUAUAACAUAACACUCACACUUCACUUAUAAUUUUAUCAUUCUGUAACACUCACAAUUCACUUGUAAUUUGGUUCAUACCAAAACUACCAUCACUCAAUAACACUUCACUUCCCCAUCACAAUAUUUCAUUUAUAAAUUCACCAAUCAAUUAAAAUCGUAAAGACAAAUAUACAAUCAUUUGGUAAUUGGGAUAGGCAAAUCUCGUUUUGUUUUUGAGACCUUUCCCUACACAAUCCGCACCAAGCUUUCCAACCACCUCGACACCUCCUUGCUCGUUUCCCGGAUGGUCCUUCGUCGGAGCUUCGUCUCCGCCUCCACCCUAGCCUUGCUGGAAUAGUUACCUUUCUUCCUCCACUCACGUUUCCCCCCACCUUCCCUCUUUCCAUCCUUUGUCUAUAUACUCCUUUUCUUUUCUUUCUAAACCAUAACCAUUAUUUUAACAUGGUUUUCACUUGAAUAAGCCCAACUCACGAAAUUGGCCCACUCUUAAGUUGAAUAUAU
Molecule: long non-coding RNA, 1508 nt
Filed under: Zostera marina
Lineage: Eukaryota; Viridiplantae; Streptophyta; Magnoliopsida; Alismatales; Zosteraceae
Description: long non-coding RNA (ZMAR_LNC001764)
Source: RNAcentral